UGCCUGAUGGUGUAAAGGUAGCACAGCAGUUUUUGGUACUGUUAGUCUUGGUUCGAAUCCAGGUCGGGUAA
This 71-nucleotide transfer RNA is filed under the name Chitinophagaceae bacterium. RNAcentral describes it as "tRNA-Gln". It matches the Rfam family "tRNA". Rfam says of the family: Transfer RNA (tRNA) molecules are approximately 80 nucleotides in length. Their secondary structure includes four short double-helical elements and three loops (D, anti-codon, and T loops). The record is from RNAcentral. RNAcentral also lists the same sequence under 1 other name. Lineage: Bacteria; Pseudomonadati; Bacteroidota; Chitinophagia; Chitinophagales; Chitinophagaceae.